Molecule: ribosomal RNA, 1364 nt
Filed under: Cellulosimicrobium cellulans
Lineage: Bacteria; Bacillati; Actinomycetota; Actinomycetes; Micrococcales; Promicromonosporaceae
Description: bacterial SSU rRNA
Rfam family: Bacterial small subunit ribosomal RNA
Source: RNAcentral
CUAGGGGGGGCCCCCCCUAGAGUUUGAAUCGUGGCUCAGCACGAACGCUGGCGGCGUGCUUAACACAUGCAAGUCGAACGAUGAUGCCCAGCUUGCUGUGUAGAUUAGUGCCGAACGGGUGAGUAACACGUGAGUAACCUGCCCUUGAGUUCGGGAUAACUCCGCGAAACCGCGGCUAAUACCGGAUAUGAGCCGUCCUCGCAUGGGGGUGGUUGGAAAGUUUUUCGGUCAGGGAUGGGCUCGCGGCCUAUCAGCUUGUUGGUGGGGUGAUGGCCUACCAAGGCGACGACGGGUAGCCGGCCUGAGAGGGCGACCGGCCACACUGGGACUGAGACACGGCCCAGACUCCUACGGGAGGCAGCAGUGGGGAAUAUUGCACAAUGGGCGAAAGCCUGAUGCAGCGACGCCGCGUGAGGGAUGAAGGCCUUCGGGUUGUAAACCUCUUUCAGCAGGGAAGAAGCGCAAGUGACGGUACCUGCAGAAGAAGCGCCGGCUAACUACGUGCCAGCAGCCGCGGUAAUACGUAGGGCGCAAGCGUUGUCCGGAAUUAUUGGGCGUAAAGAGCUCGUAGGCGGUUUGUCGCGUCUGGUGUGAAAACUCGAGGCUCAACCUCGAGCUUGCAUCGGGUACGGGCAGACUAGAGUGCGGUAGGGGAGACUGGAAUUCCUGGUGUAGCGGUGGAAUGCGCAGAUAUCAGGAGGAACACCGAUGGCGAAGGCAGGUCUCUGGGCCGCAACUGACGCUGAGGAGCGAAAGCAUGGGGAGCGAACAGGAUUAGAUACCCUGGUAGUCCAUGCCGUAAACGUUGGGCACUAGGUGUGGGGCUCAUUCCACGAGUUCCGUGCCGCAGCAAACGCAUUAAGUGCCCCGCCUGGGGAGUACGGCCGCAAGGCUAAAACUCAAAGGAAUUGACGGGGGCCCGCACAAGCGGCGGAGCAUGCGGAUUAAUUCGAUGCAACGCGAAGAACCUUACCAAGGCUUGACAUGCACGAGAAGCCACCAGAGAUGGUGGUCUCUUUGGACACUCGUGCACAGGUGGUGCAUGGUUGUCGUCAGCUCGUGUCGUGAGAUGUUGUGGUUAAGUCCCGCAACGAGCGCAACCCUCGUCCCAUGUUGCCAGCGGGUUAUGCCGGGGACUCAUGGGAGACUGCCGGGGUCAACUCGGAGGAAGGUGGGGAUGACGUUCAAAUCAUCAUGCCCCUUAUGUCUUGGGCUUCACGCAUGCUACAAUGGCCGGUACAAAGCGGCUGGCGAUACCGGUAAGGUGCACCCCAAUCUCAAAAGGCCGGUUCUCAGGUUCGGAUUGGCCCUCUGGCGAGGUCUUACCCCGUUAGGAACGCAAGUCUACUAGCAAUCGGCACGAG